Non-coding RNA from Pelodiscus sinensis (Chinese soft-shelled turtle), 420 nucleotides. NCBI's taxonomy places the organism in Eukaryota, Metazoa, Chordata, Testudines, Trionychidae. The record is from the annotation of a RefSeq genome assembly.
AUGACAUCAGAGACGCUACUUCUGUUAAUGCUCUCGCUGUGGAUCCAAGAUACCAGAGGGCAGGUUGUGGUGACUCAAUCUCCAGAGUCUCUGUCAGUCUCCAUUGGAGAAACUGUUACUAUCAAAUGCAAGUCAGAUACAGACAUUGAUGAUGACAUGAACUGGUACCAGCAGAAGUUUGGAGCUGCCCCAAAGCUCCUUCUCUCUGAAGGGUCUGCUCCAGAUUUCACGUUCACAAUCAGCGGCGUUGAAGUGGAUGAUGCUGGAGAUUAUUACUGUCAGCAAAGUGACCGUACCCCGCUCACAGUGAUACAGACCAAUACAAAAACCUCUCCUGCUGCACAAGAAUCCAGCGGGCAGAUCGUUAUCACUCAAACACCCUCUUCUGUGACGGUGCUUCCAGGAGAGACUGAGCCAUGA